Molecule: ribosomal RNA, 468 nt
Filed under: uncultured bacterium
Lineage: Bacteria
Description: partial 16S ribosomal RNA
Rfam family: Bacterial small subunit ribosomal RNA
Source: RNAcentral
GACGAACGCUGGCGGCGUGCUUAACACAUGCAAGUCGAACGGAAAGGCCCUGCGUUUGUGGGGUGCUCGAGUGGCGAACGGGUGAGUAACACGUGAGUAACAUGCCCUUGACUGUGGGAUAACUUCAGGAAACAGGGGCUAAUACCGGAUAGGAGCUCCUGCUGCAUGGUGGGGGUUGGAAAGUUUCGGCGGUUGGGGAUGGACUCGCGGCUUAUCAGCUUGUUGGUGGGGUAGUGGCUUACCAAGGCUUUGAAGGGUAGCCGGCCUGAGAGGGUGACCGGCCACAAUGGGACUGAGAUACGGACCAGACGCCUACGGGAGGCAGCAGUGGGGAAUAUUGCACAAUGGGCGGAAGCCUGAUACAGCAACGCCGCGUGCGGGAUGACGGCCUUCGGGUUGUAAACCGCUUUCGCAUGUGACGAAGCGUGAGUGACGGUAAUGGGUAAGGAAGCACCGGCUAACUACGUG